Molecule: transfer RNA, 73 nt
Filed under: Paramuricea clavata
Lineage: Eukaryota; Metazoa; Cnidaria; Anthozoa; Malacalcyonacea; Plexauridae
Rfam family: tRNA
About the family: Transfer RNA (tRNA) molecules are approximately 80 nucleotides in length.
Source: Rfam by way of RNAcentral
GACCGCGUAGCUCAGUUGGCAGAGCAUUGUGCUAGCAUUCCAAAGGUCGUAGGUUUGAUUCCCACCGUGGUCA